UGGAAAUUUAGUUAACACAGUCCUAGG
RNAcentral lists this non-coding RNA (27 nucleotides) under Rattus norvegicus (Norway rat). The record is from RNAcentral. Lineage: Eukaryota; Metazoa; Chordata; Mammalia; Rodentia; Muridae.